AGACUGGAAUUCACGGUGUAGCAGUGAAAUGCGUAGAUAUCGUGAGGAAGACCGGUGGCGAAGGCGAGUCUCUGGACAGAUCCUGACGCUGAGGCACGAAGGCUGGGGGAGCGAACAGGAUUAGAUACCCUGGUAGUCCCAGCAGUAAACGAUGUGAGCUUGAUGUGGGGGGAUUCGACCCCUUCCGUGUCGAAGCUAACGCGAUAAGCUCACCGCCUGAGGAGUACGGCCGCAAGGCUAAACUCAAAGAAAUUGACGGGGACCCGCACAAGCGGUGGAGUAUGUGGCUUAAUUCGAUGCAACGCGAAGAACCUUACCUGGCCUUGACAUGCAUUGUGUCGUCGGUGAAAGCCGGCUAGUCCUGGAAACAGGACGCUUUGCACAGGUGCUGCAUGGCUGUCGUCAGCUCGUGUCGUGAGAUGUUGGGUUAAGUCCCGCAACGAGCGCAACCCUUGUGGUCAGUUACUAACCGGCUUAGCCGGAGGACUCUGGCCAGACUGCCCUGUCAAACGGGGAGGAAGGUGGGGACGACGUCAAGUCAGUAUGGCCCUUAUGGCCAGGGCUGCACACGUACUACAAUGCCCGGUACAAUGUGAACCGAAACCGCGAGGUGGAGGAAAUCGCUCUUGAAAACCGGGCCCAGUUCGGAUUGGAGUCUGCAACUCGACUCCAUGAAGUCGGAAUCGCUAGUAAUGGCGU
RNAcentral lists this ribosomal RNA (699 nucleotides) under uncultured organism. Its description in RNAcentral is "bacterial SSU rRNA". It matches the Rfam family "Bacterial small subunit ribosomal RNA", at positions 658 to 1347 of the family's 1533-position model. The record is from RNAcentral.